CUACGGGCUGCACCAGUGGGGAAUAUUGCACAAUGGGCGCAAGCCUGAUGCAGCAACGCCGCGUGAGGGAUGAAGGCCUUCGGGUUGUAAACCUCUUUUAGCAGGGAAGAAGCGCAAGUGACGGUACCUGCAGAAAAAGCACCGGCUAACUACGUGCCAGCAGCCGCGGUAAUACGUAGGGUGCAAGCGUUGUCCGGAAUUAUUGGGCGUAAAGAGCCCGUAGGCGGUUUGUCACGUCUGCUGUGAAAAUCCAAGGCUCAACCUUGGACUUGCAGUGGGUACGGGCAGGCUAGAGUGCGGUAGGGGAGAUGGGAAUUCCUGGUGUAGCGGUGGAAUGCGCAGAUAUCAGGAGGAACACCAAUGGCGAAGGCACAUCUCUGGGCCGUAACUGACGCUGAGGAGCGAAAGCGUGGGGAGCGAACAGGAUUAGAUACCCGCGUAGUC
RNAcentral lists this ribosomal RNA (444 nucleotides) under uncultured bacterium. Its description in RNAcentral is "partial 16S ribosomal RNA". It matches the Rfam family "Bacterial small subunit ribosomal RNA", at positions 339 to 795 of the family's 1533-position model. The record is from RNAcentral.